GACGAACGCUGGCGGCGUGCUUAACACAUGCAAGUCGAACGGAAAGGCCCUGCUUUUGUGGUGUGCUCGAGUGGCGAACGGGGGAGUAACACGUGAGUAACCUGCCCUUGACUUUGGGAUAACUUCAGGAAACUGGGGCUAAUACCGGAUAGGAGCUCCUGCUGCAUGGUGGGGGUUGGAAAGUUUCGGCGGGUGGGGAUGGACUCGCGGCUUAUCAGCUUGUUGGUGGGGUAGUGGCUUACCAAGGCUUUGACGGGUAGGCGGCCUGAGAGGGUGGACGGCCACCAUGGGACUGCGAUACGGACCAGACUGCUACGGGAGGCAGCAGUGGGGAAUAUGGCACAAUGGGCGGAAGCCUGAUGCAGAGGCGCCGCGUGCGUGAUGACGGCCUUCGGGUUGUGAACCGCUUUCGCCUGUGACGAAGCGUGAGUGACGGUAAUGGGUAAAGAAGCACCGGCUAACUACGUG
RNAcentral lists this ribosomal RNA (468 nucleotides) under uncultured bacterium. RNAcentral describes it as "partial 16S ribosomal RNA". It matches the Rfam family "Bacterial small subunit ribosomal RNA", at positions 28 to 507 of the family's 1533-position model. The record is from RNAcentral.